RNAcentral lists this ribosomal RNA (377 nucleotides) under Parauronema sp. RNAcentral's name for it is "partial small subunit ribosomal RNA". It matches the Rfam family "Eukaryotic small subunit ribosomal RNA", at positions 582 to 975 of the family's 1831-position model. The record is from RNAcentral. Lineage: Eukaryota; Ciliophora; Oligohymenophorea; Philasterida; Philasteridae.
AUUCCAGCUCCAAUAGCGUAUAUUAAAGUUGUUGCAGUUAAAAAGCUCGUAGUUGAAUUUCUGUACAGUCCCGGUUCUGGCUUCGGUCAAGCCGUGGAUUGUGCAUCCGCUUGCAAAUCUAGCUCGGCCUUCACUGGUCGACUAGGGGAGUAAGCCCUUUACUUUGAAAAAAUUAGAGUGUUUCAGGCAGGCAAUGGCUCGAAUACAUUAGCAUGGAAUAAUGGAAUAGGACUUUUGUCCAUUUGGUUGGUUAUUGGACAUGAGUAAUGAUUAAAAGGGACAGUUGGGGGCAUUAGUAUUUAAUAGUCAGAGGUGAAAUUCUUGGAUUUAUUAAAGACUAACUUAUGCGAAAGCAUUUGCCAAGGAUGUUUUCAUUA